CUUGAAGUAGAAAUAUGAGCUGCAUCAUCUCCCCCUGUUGUCCAUCGACAUGAAAUGCAGUGUUCUGAAACAUGAGAAAGGCAAUACAUUUCCUCCAGUUCUUUGUAAGCUGAUACGAAGUAGACAGACACCUUCUGAAGUUUUGUGCAUGCUGUGCUCUUUUUUUCUUUGCUGCAACAAGAAAAGUCUUUUCUUUUAACCUGGCUUACUUUGAAGAAGUAACUCAGGAAGCUUCAUGGCCUCUCAAGAAUCUCAACAACAAACAACCACAGUCUUUAAGGAUUACCUCCCUGGUUCUUCUGGCCUUCCUGAACAAGAUAAGCCUGUUGAACCCACAAGCCUCUGGAAGCAAACAUCACAUGCUCAUAACUUGCCACCUGGUCUGGAGUAUCUGAAUCAGGUCCUGGAUAUUUUCAAAUGCUAAAACUGUUCUGUUUUCAUCAUAGACUGAUAAAUUUGGGGGGUGGGGGAGUGUUCUUUUUUUUUUUUUUUUUUUUCCUUGUGAAGAGGGAGUUGGAGAAGGGGAAGCUUUUUGGUUGUCUGAUAUUACUAUGAAAUAAGGAACAUAGGACUAAUAAGCUCUUCCUUCAUUGCUGCCAUUCAUUUUUAUGGAAAACCAUUUGUUGUACAGUUCUCCUUGCCCCCCAAACACAAUUUUCUUCUCUCUAGGACUUGCUUUUUCCUGAUCAUAACUUUUAUCCCUCUCAUUGUCCUGCCCAGAUUCCUUCCAGCUCCUUAAGAGCUCACUUCCAGGGAAACCACUGCCAACCUCCGUCUGACCUCAAAACUAGUCUGGUUGAUGAAAACAAGCAGUGUGCUGAAGGAACUGUCACAUUCCAUCCUUUUGGGAACAUGCAGGUCUUCUGAGCAAAUUCCUUGUGCCCA
Molecule: long non-coding RNA, 885 nt
Filed under: Anas platyrhynchos platyrhynchos (common mallard)
Lineage: Eukaryota; Metazoa; Chordata; Aves; Anseriformes; Anatidae
Description: lncRNA (ENSAPLG00000022445.1)
Source: RNAcentral